This is a long non-coding RNA of Triticum aestivum (bread wheat), 1186 nucleotides long. RefSeq lists it as uncharacterized. Lineage: Eukaryota; Viridiplantae; Streptophyta; Magnoliopsida; Poales; Poaceae. The record is from RefSeq and is a predicted model, not a curated record. The transcript is spliced from 3 exons.
AUUGAUUGAUUGGCGAUGCUGGCAACAAGUAGAAAAUGGUAUUUUGAGUGAGUAUGGUGACGCUGGCAGCCGUGAGUGUUGGGAACAAGGCAAACCAACAAGUGUAAGUUUUGAUAGUUUCAGUUCGUGCUCAUGGUCUUUUCGCUUUCUGCGUUUUUCUAGCGUAUACCUACUAUCCCAUCUCAUCUCAUCCCACGUAUGCGUACCUACCUUCCGUUAUUUCAGCAGCCUAGCUUGAGAUACAAACCAAUCAAUCUUCUGAUGGAUGGGGCCGGAUCAUUUAAUUCUCCCACGAAACAAGGCACCCCUUGAAUCAUCUCCCAAGAUGGAUCCUUCAAUUCUGCCUCGAAACAAGGCGUCCCUUGAAUUGUCUCCCAGAGAACCAAAUCAAAGCAGCGCCAUCUCCCUCUCGUUUCCAAGAUGCCUCGAUCCAUCACGCGGAUCCACCUUCCAUCCAACGCCUCUCCGCAUUGCUCGCCCGCUCCUCUCCCAGAUAUGAUGGCUGACACCCCUCUCUCCUCUCUAUGAAAUGUCCUGCCCCGUCUCCAAUUGCUAGCUCCUCUUUUCUCCUCAAUCGAACACCUCACGCGUCUCCCAUCUAUGCAACGCCGUCGACCUGCCAAUGAUGCAUCUCCGGCCGGCCCGCUUGCCUGUUUGCCCCACCCUCUACUCUAUGUAAAGGCUACGCACACCAUGCUUGCUCCAUCCCAGUCUACUUUUAAGGAAACCAGUCAAUCGCCUGAUGCCCCCUUUUUUGUUUUUGUUUUUUGUUUUGACCUGGUGAUGCAUCUAUUGACAUGGAAGCUGGAGGUGCGGACCGGGCAAGAGCACAACUAAAAGCCGGGCACUAGGCGUGAUACAAAAGUAUACAUGUUUCAGUCGAGGACAAUGCAGACAUCUGCGUCAAUUCAAGCAAGAUGAGGCAGCGAUGGGGGCAAAAAGUACCCUUCUGCACAAGCAGCACAGCAAAAAAGCCAGGAAGUUCUGUUAAGAGCGAUGGGCUAGCUGUGCACACGAUGGGUGUUUGAUUCAGAAGAUCCACACGAGUUCAUCCAAGCAAAGGGAAAAAGAUGCACCAACCAAAAAUGGACUUGGUAGUGAGAAAAGGUGAGUGAAGGGAGACUCGCCUUGAAGUUACAACGUCCCUUAUCGAUCACACAAGCUCCCUCCUCACGGCCGAUCGAUG